AAACAGUCAUAUGCUAGGACAGCCGAACAAUAUUGCUAAUUUGUUACAGGGUAAAAUGGAUGCUAUGCACAAGCUGAAGAUUUUGGUGAUGUUUCUGUCUCUGGCUACUUUCAUGGUCAUGGUGAUACUGAAUGCUGGAAAUGCCACUGGGAUUUUCAAAGGUCUGUUCAGAACAACCCCUGGAAACAUCUCAGCGAAGUACAACACUGACUUCACACCAGCUGGCUGGACUUUCCUCAUCUGGAAUGUCAUCUAUGCUUGGCAUCUUGUCUGGCUUCUCUACGCCUUGUCAGGGAUCUGUCGAAGGAAUGAACUUGGAUGUGUCUACAUAAAGCCAGACUUGCUGCCAAUACCUUUUUAUGUGGUGUGGAUUCUGAAUAACAGCCUCAAUGUUGGAUGGCUGUUUCUGUGGGACCGAGAAUACCUCCUCCCAGCCCUGGUGUUCCUGGCAGCCCUCACUUUUACCACAUGUGCCUGCCUCUUCAUUUCGCACCAAGCCUUGAGCAUGCAUUCCUCUUGGCUUGUGAAGGGUCACAAAGCUGAGCUCUGGCUCAUCCGCAUCCUGGUCCAGAAUGGGCUGGCACUGUAUGCAACAUGGACCAGCAUUGCCACUCUGCUGAACUUUGCAGUUGUGUUGAUCUACAAGUGGAAUGCCUCCAAUGAGACAGCAACAACAGCUUCCCUAAGCAUCCUUGCUCUUGUCCUGGUAAUAUGGUUUUAUCUAGAAAAUUUCUUUCUUGACAAGCAUGUCCGCUAUAACCUUACAAUCUACCCAGUGGUCAUAAUAGCUCUGACUGGUAGCACAUGCAAGAACUUCUCAUUUUCAUCCCCAACAACGAAUAGCAUUUUUAUAGUUGUUCUGCUGGCAAUUACUUGCUUGAUCUUUGCUGUUCGGCUGGGACUAAUCAUAUGGAGACACUGUAAGAGACCACUGGAAGUGUCAGAAACCCUAGACCCAUCAGGCACUGUGGCCUGAGACAUCUGGCAUGUUGUGGCAGAUACUUUUAAAGGGAGAAAAAAGAAUUUUGGCAUCUACUGAUCUGUCCUUCCAUUAUCAGUUGCCUUGUGCUCUUCUGUUUCUUUCCAUUUGAAAUGUGGAUGGCUUGUGUUUGAAAACCUGUCCUGCACCCAUAUUCCUUCAGAUAAGCUACUCACAGCCCCACCUUGAAUCUGCAUCCUCCUUCAUUUGCUCAGUGCAGGAAAAGGUCUUUCAGCUGAACAACUCUCUGCACCUUUGUGACAACUGAGCUGUGGUGCUCUGGCCCUGCCACUGCAAUGAGGGCUAACAGGCACUUGGCAUGCUUGCACAGACAUUCCUAUGUAUGAUUUAGACUGCACUUUAAGUUUAAGUGAGCUGUACCUGGGAGUCAAGGUGAGCAGUGGGAGGUCUAGCAUUCCUUUGGCCAUGCAGGGUAUCUGCAGGCAGCGAUGGCUCCUGUUCCUGCUUCUCUUCACCCUGAUGGGGACAGAUACUACAACUCUAGAGAUCUACCUUUGUUGGUGUCAGUUCUGAUGUUUGUCCAAGGUGAGGAGGAGGAGUGACUGAAUACUUCUGGCACAAUUACAAGCCUUCAACCUAUUUCAGCUUGUAGCUCUGGAAACUGAAGACACAUUCACUUUUCAGCAUACAGUAAGGUAGUUGGGUGUCUGCCCUCUUUUUUUCCUGACUUUCUCAGCUAAGUUAGUCACUGUCAGCACCCCUGUGGACCCAUAAUAACAGCAGAUGUAUGUAGUUCCUGCUCUGCCUGUAAGACAGAGGAGACUUGGGUCAGGCAGGAGCAGUGGGUUGCCUUUCCCUGAGCUGUGGGGAGUGAGAAGCUUGCAGUUUGUGCUGGAGGGUGGUUUGUAGCCACUCUGGCAGGAGGUAAGAUGUACAGAUGAGGUGAUACCUGAUCUGGGGUAAAGCCUGCUGUUUAAGGAGGGAAAAAAAAAUUAUUUGAACCAGUAGUGUGAGUUCAUCCUGGAUCAGUGUUUUCUCAUGUGGCUUCACCACUUCUGAGUUGGUAUUAGGAAGCCUAAAAGUGGAUUAACUGAACUGUUGGACCACUGCCUAUUUCCUGUGCCUAUUUGAUAAUUGGUGAUGCACCACUGGUGCCUGGAAAGUGUUUCUAUAUAACAGGUGCUUUCAGAAGCUGAAUAUCUUGCAAUAUUAUUACAAAGGUAGAUUCUUCUAAAAGAACCUUUUGUUUACAAUUUAACAAAUAACAAACAUAAUUCUUUAUAUUUACAAAGAACAAAAUUGGUGUAAUGCAAUUCCUGUUGUAAUUCUCUUGUGUUGUCUUAUUUUCAAAUAAAUCAGCUCAUUCCAUCA
This 2311-nucleotide long non-coding RNA is filed under the name Athene cunicularia (burrowing owl). Its description in RNAcentral is "lncRNA (ENSACUG00000012610.1)". Lineage: Eukaryota; Metazoa; Chordata; Aves; Strigiformes; Strigidae. The record is from RNAcentral.